GCUUGGAUCUCUCGAGAGCCAAGGAAAGGGCGGGCGUGGGAACCCUCCUUUUAAGUUUACUUCUUCCCCUCCCCAGCCCCGCGCCCCAGACUUGUUCUUUGUUUCUAUUUUGAAAAGGCUUCUGGGGUCACUAGGUCGUCUUUAGCACCCCCACUUUUUGUGCAGGUUUAGCUUGCCCCCCCCUCCACCGAAUAUAUUUCUUUCAUUUUUGGAGGGGUAGUCACUUCGACCUGUCACUUUUUGGGGGAGGGGCACCGAGAAACCUGGGAUUGGGUUAGUUAAUUCCCAUCUCGUUCCUCCCGGGUGUUACUUGUCUUAGGGAGGGAUUUCCCCUGGAGCGGGGUGGGUGGGAGGGAGGGAAAACUUCUCUGAUCUCUUUCCAGGACCUCUUUGGUGGAGGCUCCCCUGGAUCAGUGUCUUCACAUUGACCAUUGGGGACUGGCAGUAGGGGACCCUUUGGGAGGGAAGUAGUGGGAAGAAUUGGAAGACUGAGUGAGGGAUGCCCCCUGUGAAACCUUGAUAAGUGUUGAGGGUUUUGAACUUCUGGCAGAUAUAGAAUCCUGGGUGUGUGUGUGUGUAUGGGUGUGUGUUGGGGGGGUGGGGUGGGCAAGAGAUUAAUAUUCAGUAGAAGAAACUCAAACAAUCACAUUUCAACCACCAGUUUAUUUUCAAAGGGGGUCAAGUUUGGGAUUCAAGGUGCAAAAGUCCUGUGAGCAAGAUCUGACUGCUGAUCCCAGUUUGUAUUUGGGAGCCAUGACACAAUGGUAAUGGAAAGUCCUGAAAAGACUUCACUCUCCUGUAUUUGUCCAAGGGUCUAAAGUCCUAGAGGAUGACCUAGCACUUAAGAACCCAUCCUGGGCCUUUUUAGGGCCAACAGUGAGUAAAGAGACCUGGCUGAGCCAAAACAGUGAGACCAGGUCAAAAAUAAGCCAGGUGCCUGUUCAAAAGUUCUUGACAUUUUUGCUUGAGAGCCAGGCAUUUGGGGUGUAUUAGACCCUUAAUCAGGGACUACUGAAUUACAUUAGUACAAUCUUUGGAAGAGUUGGGGGUUUUUCUGUUUUUGUUUUUGUUUUUGUUUUUGUUUUUUUGAGAAGAAAAGUUGGGAAAACCAAGAACUCAAGAUUGACUUAAGAGAUCCUGGUGUGUCUAAAGAAACCUGGUUAAGGAGUUUAAUCCAGGAUGGAUUUGACAGAACCACAGCAGUUGGGCAUGUUUACAGAAAGUGAACUUAUGUCUGUGGGUAUGGACACAUUUAUUCACCGAAUAGACUCCACUGAGGUCAUCUACCAGCCAAGACGAAAAAGGGCCAAACUCAUUGGCAAAUACCUGAUGGGAGAUUUGCUGGGAGAAGGAUCUUAUGGGAAAGUGAAGGAGAUGUUGGACUCUGAAACACUUUGUAGGAGAGCUGUGAAAAUCCUCAAAAAGAAGAAGUUGCGUAGAAUCCCCAAUGGGGAGGCGAAUGUUAAAAAGGAAAUUCAGCUACUGAGGAGGUUACGACACAAAAACGUCAUACAGCUGGUGGAUGUAUUGUAUAAUGAAGAGAAGCAGAAAAUGUAUAUGGUGAUGGAAUACUGUGUGUGUGGGAUGCAGGAGAUGCUGGACAGCGUUCCAGAGAAAAGAUUUCCAGUCUUUCAGGCUCACGGGUACUUUUGUCAGCUUAUAGAUGGGUUAGAAUAUUUGCAUAGCCAAGGAAUUGUCCACAAGGAUAUAAAACCAGGGAACCUACUGCUUACAACCAAUGGGACGCUAAAAAUAUCUGAUUUAGGAGUAGCAGAGGCAUUGCAUCCUUUUGCAGAAGAUGAUACAUGCAGAACGAGCCAAGGGUCACCAGCAUUCCAGCCACCAGAAAUAGCCAAUGGCUUAGACACCUUUUCAGGCUUUAAAGUGGACAUUUGGUCAGCUGGGGUCACACUAUACAACAUUACAACAGGUCUUUACCCCUUUGAAGGGGACAACAUCUAUAAAUUAUUUGAAAACAUCGGGAAAGGGGAUUAUACAAUUCCAGGUGAUUGUGGUCCACCACUCUCUGACCUGCUGAAAGGCAUGCUUGAAUAUGAACCAUCCAAGAGAUUUUCAAUACAGCAGAUACGGCAGCACAACUGGUUUCGUAAGAAACACCCCCAGGCAGAGGCCCUGGUUCCCAUUCCUCCCAGCCCGGAAACCAAGGACAGGUGGCGAAGUAUGACAGUGGUGCCUUAUCUGGAGGAUCUGCAUGGCUACAAUGAGGAAGAGGACGAUGACCUCUUUGACAUUGAGGAUGACAUCAUCUAUACUCAGGAUUUUACAGUACCAGGUGACGAGGAGACCUCUGAGACAGGGCUUAGAGAGGCGAGAACAGAACAGAAGAGUGAACAAUCAGAAUUUUCUCGAGAGGAAGCUCAGCCACCAGACGACAGUCUAAUGAGAGAGGAGGCAAAGGCUUAGCAUAGUUGCACAAGCUACCGUGGAAGCCCUGUAGUUGGGGAGAGCAGCUUGUGCCGUGUGGUCAGCCCGGGGUUCGAGUGUCACCGAGCAAGCGGAACGUCUAUGGAUUUGUGAAAAACAAGACUGAGGAGUGUUGAUUUGAAAGAGCAAAACAGAAAUUCCACAGGAAGGAGGGGCAGGCAUAUAGGAAAUGGAAAGGAUGUUUGGAACUCCUAAGUAUCAUUUUCAUGCUGCCUUUCCUACCCUCACCCCCCUUACCACAGGGAUGAGAGGAGAAAAAUUAGAGACAUUUUUUAGCUUUUAUGCUCUUCUGCAAACUGGAGACACAAGAGACACCAUGUUAUAAGGGAAAGAUAUGGAGUUAGAAUCUUGGUUCCAGUUGCCCAUGGAACCCCUGUCUUCUCUGAAUCUACUCUUUCCUCUGUUGCUUUCUUCCUGAGCUUUUGGGGAAUGGGAUGGGGAAAGAAACAAACCCAAUUCUUUGGUCUGGAUAUUCUUCCUCUCUGCCCACCAUUUUCUACUGUGAUAACCAAAACCCCUCAGAGGUAAACAAGACCAGAGGAGAUGAACCAGUUGAGGUGUCAAGUUUGUAAGUCUACAAGCAUUUAGCUCUCACCACAUGCCAGACACUGGGCUAAGUGCAAGAGGCACAAAGAAAGGCAAAAACAUAGUCACUGCUUUCGAAGAGGGCAUCCGGAUGAAGGGGACAGCAUACAAACAGUUAAGCUCUCCCUGACUUCCCACAGGAAAUCACUUUUCCCUCCUGGCCUUAGCAUGAGGAACAAAGAUACCUUUCUGGAUCUAAAUCCUAAGAUCCUGGGCAGCUUGGUUCUCUAACCCUCGGUGAUUUCCAGACUAAUCAUUUGGAGUAAUCAUCAUCAUCAUCAUCAUUUCUCUUCACAACUUCACAACACCACCCCCACCCCCCCCCAAAAAAAAUAAAAAUGAAAAAAAUAAAAAGCAGAACACCAGCUUUGCUCUAUAAUGAGA
This is a non-coding RNA of Monodelphis domestica (gray short-tailed opossum), 3414 nucleotides long. The record is from RefSeq and is a predicted model, not a curated record. NCBI's taxonomy places the organism in Eukaryota, Metazoa, Chordata, Mammalia, Didelphimorphia, Didelphidae.